This is a long non-coding RNA of Phyllopteryx taeniolatus (common seadragon), 2552 nucleotides long. RefSeq lists it as uncharacterized. Lineage: Eukaryota; Metazoa; Chordata; Actinopteri; Syngnathiformes; Syngnathidae. The transcript has 4 exons. The record is from RefSeq and is a predicted model, not a curated record.
AUAGUCCAGUCACAUCAUUAUGUCUGUCAAAUAUUGACAGCUGUAGAAAGUCAAAGUUAAUUCAAUCAAUAAUCUUCAUCACAAACUGCGUAUUUGCAGAAGCGUGAGAUAAACAUUUGAACGCAAAGAAAUAGCUUUAUGGAGGAUUCAUAAUAUGUUCACGUCAAUAACACUGAGCUCCUGUUCCUGAAUCUCUGCAAGCUUCUGUCAUACAUGCUUUAGCCAAGGGCUUAUGGUCAUAUGGUGCUUGUCAACACUGCAAAACAAUAAAAUAAUAAAAUAAAACCGUCAACCUGAAAGAGCUUCAGAGGAUGCGGCAACGUACCAUCCACCUACAACAUACCUGGGACUCAUGACUGUGGUGUCCUUGAGCAAGACACCUAUACACCAAACUGCUGCCUCAGCGCUCAAGUUCCCCCCUACUCCAGUACAACAUACAUUGCCACCUCCCUGACCCAUGACUAUUUUGAGGAUUUUUAUUAUUAAUAAUUAAUGAUAUUCAUCAACGUGAAGACACUGAUCAUGUUAAUUAUAUCGCACAGUAAUAUCAAAAAAUAUUUAUUUAAGAAGGUAGGAAACAUAAACAUAUUAUAUAUACACACACACAGUAUAUAUAUUAGGUGCCGCCAGUGAGACGUGAACGCCGCUUAUCUAACAGUCUACUUUGAAGGAGCAUGUGUUUUUGUAUUUUCUAUCAAAUAAAUACUGUAAAAUAAAUGUAAUUUAACCGGAACACUGUGCUUAUGAAUGAACACAGGUUUGAAUGGCUAGCAGUGUCAUAUACUGCCCUGCAGUUCCACUAUAGGAGCCUGGAGGGUGCUUUGCGUCCUCUCUCUCUCCCCCUCCCCUCUCUGUUUUCAGCACCUGUCUCCAAUCAGCCUCAUCACCACCGGUAUAUAAGCCUGCAUGUUCCAGGAAAUCCUCGCCAAAGUAUUGCAGUUACUUCCAGCGGUACCACGGCCCAUUUGCCUCCAAGGUUGCGGGCUGCUGGAGCCUAUCCCAGCUAUCUUCGGGCAGGACGCGGGGUAUACCCUGAAGCGGUUGCCAGCUAAUCUCAGGGCAAGUGACCGUCCACUGCCGCUCUCUCGGGGUUAAAGAAGCAUGCAAUGCAGCAACGCCUUGCACCUUGUCUCUCCCUCUCCCCUUCUUUCUCCCAAGCAAUCAGCAUCACCUGUGCCUUGCACCUGUCUUCAAGCAGCACUGAUUACUGCCUGCAUUUAAUCUUGUCAAGUCCAGCAAACGUUCGCCCGAGGACUGACACUUGUUUGUGACUCACUGACGCUCUGUGCCUUCCCCGCCUCGUUUCCUGCGACACCCACGCCUCCAAGCCACACCACCUGCUCACGUUCCCUCUUCCUGCUCGCUCCUUGUCCCCGACGGCCCACCACCUUGCCUUGGAUAUCCUUACCCUGUGCCAACCUGCAAUAAACCAUUCUAAAUCUACUCCCUCCACCCCAGUCUUGGGUCCAAUCCAACCCACAUCUGACUUCGCACCGUGACAAAACUGCUGGGUGAUCCAUUACCGUUUCCACAGUCCACAUCUGUCCUCUUUGUGGCGCUAAGUGGCUGUCUGUUAGCAUGGUUCUGCUCACCAUUUUGAGACAUCGGUAGAGUGGUUUCAUUCCCUGACUGUCCAUUUCCAUCCACAUACACUUCCAGAUGGUGGAUUUUCAUUUCCAGGACCGCCAUCUUCUGUAGCAGUUUGUGAUAUUGUCAGCGGGAGAGGGAGGCAUAUUAUUGCUGGUCUGUGUUUAGUUUUGUUCCAUGUUUGUUGUGUGCUCAUUUGGUUGUUGUGUCCACCUGUUCUCGUCUACCUUGUGUCGACCAAUCAGCUCUCUCCAGCCAUUCGUGUCUUGUCCAGGUAUCCCUCGUUGUCUCGUCAAUCUGUUUGUAUUUAGUUCCCCGGUUUCUUUCAUUUCUUGUCGGUUCAUUGUCGUUGUCACGUCUUUUCAGUAUGUCAUUGUCAGGUGUCAUUGUCUUUGUCUGUGCCAUGUCAUUGUCGCCAAAUGUCGCUCAGUCAUGUCUUGUUUCUUGUUAUGGGUUUACUCAAGUGUUUCUUUGUUACUUUGUGUUUAGAUUUUGGACUCUGUUAAUUUAGCAUUUAGACUUUUUCAUGAUCCUUGUUUUCCUUUGUUUUUUUUUUUGGAAAUUACAUUUUUUUUUUUUAUAUACUCCUGCACUACUGCGUUGCCUCCCUGCUUCCCUGCACUUGGGUCCUCCAUGUUUUUGCCUUGCCUUCCUUGCUAUCGACCAAACCCCAAACGUGAGAGUCUCCUUGCUAAUAGCAGUCUUGUGCUAAUUAGCAGGCCACCCUUACGUAAUGGUGAGUAAAACAACAACUGACUGUAACUACAAAAAAAGUACAGUCCCACAGGUUUAAAAAUAUACAGGAGUUGCUGCUUCUAGUUUCUUUGGAAGAAGAAAAACAAGCUUAUCAGCACGAAAAACGUAAACGGAGGCGAAGCAAGGCGAGUGAGCAGAAAAGUGUCUGCACUGUAUAAGAGCCUGUUUUAAAAGCCAACAAAAUUCCUAAUCAUAAAUAUUAGCCAAGA